Molecule: unclassified non-coding RNA, 3950 nt
Filed under: Eurytemora carolleeae
Lineage: Eukaryota; Metazoa; Arthropoda; Copepoda; Calanoida; Temoridae
Description: aP-3 complex subunit delta-1
Source: RNAcentral
UAAAAGAGAAGAUGGCGCUACAGAAGGUGAAGGGAAACCUGGAGAGAAUGUUCGACAAGAACCUGACAGAUCUGGUCAGGGGAAUCAGGAACAACCGUGAGAGUGAAGGAAAAUAUAUUGCUCAAUGUCUGGAGGAGAUAAAGCUAGAGCUAAGACAGUAUAACCCCUCUGUGAAAGCGAAUGCUGUAGCUAAGCUGACCUACCUACAGAUGUUGGGGUAUGAUAUAUCCUGGGCAGGAUUUAACAUAAUAGAGGUGAUGUCAAGUACUAAGUUUACAGAAAAGAGAAUAGGAUACUUGGCUGCAAGUCAAUCCUUUCAUCAGGAUACCGAGGUGUUGAUGUUGGCAACGAAUAUGAUCAGGAAGGAUCUGAGCUCGACCUCACAAUACGAGGCUGGACUAACCUUGUCCUCUCUCUCCUGCUUCCUAUCCCCUGACCUGGCUAGGGAUCUCGCAAAUGAUAUUAUGUCUCUUCUCACCUCUACUAAACCAUAUCUUAGGAAGAAAGGUGUACUGCUGUUGUACAAAGUGUUUCUAAGAUAUCCAGAGGCAUUGAGGCCGGCCUUUCCGAGGUUAAAGGAGAAACUGGAGGACCCAGACCCAGGUGUACAGUCUGCUGCUGUGAAUGUAAUCUGUGAGCUGGCUAGGAAGAACCCUAAGAACUAUUUAUCCUUGGCUCCGACCUUCUUCAAGCUGAUGACCUCGUCCACCAACAACUGGAUGCUCAUCAAGAUUAUUAAACUAUUUGGUGCUCUCACUCCUCUAGAACCAAGGUUGGGUAAGAAGCUGAUUGAACCCUUGACGAACCUGAUCCAUUCAACCUCAGCCAUGUCCUUGCUCUACGAGUGCAUCAACACCGUCAUAGCGGUCCUCAUCUCUAUAUCUACAGGAAUGCCAAACCAUGCCGCGUCAAUUCAGCUCUGCGUACAGAAACUAAGGAUACUGAUAGAGGAUAGUGAUCAGAACCUCAAGUAUCUAGGUCUACUAGCAAUGUCUAAGAUAUUAAAAACUAGCCCGAAAUCUGUUUCAUCUCAUAAGGAUCUAGUAAUGACAUGCCUUGAUGAUGCAGAUGACUCAAUCAGACUAAGAGCACUAGACCUUCUGUCAGGAAUGGUAUCGAAGAAGAACUUGAUGGAGAUUGUGAAAAAGUUGAUGUCUCACAUGUCCAAGGCGGAGGGAACAACUUACAGGGAUGAGCUGUUAACUAAAAUCCUGGAGAUCUGUAAUCAGAACGACUACCAGUAUAUUUCAAACUUCGAAUGGUAUGUGAGUGUACUAGUGGAGCUGAGCCAGAUGGAGGGAGGAACCCACGGUGGUAAACUAGCACAUCAGAUGAUGGAUGUUUCUAUCAGGGUUGAAUCAAUCCGACCUUUCGCAGUAGAGCAGAUGUCUCUUCUCAUUGAGAACUCAUCAGUUCUUCUCAGAUCUGGGCGACAUACAUCAGCAGCUGAGGUUCUGUAUGCAGCUUGUUGGUUAGUUGGAGAGUUUUCUACUCUUCUAUCCAAUCCUAGACAAGCUCUGAUAUCUAUGAUUCAAGGUCUAGAUCCUCAUCUAGCCCCUCAUAUACAGGCCACCUAUGUUCACAACAUACUGAAGCUGUAUACUAGACUGGAAGAAACUGAUACUGAAAUAGAUUCUAUGAUCUUGGUGAAACUGGAAGAUUUAGUUUCAAGUCCAAACCUUGAGGUUCAGGAGAGAGCUAGUACAGCACUCCAGGUUGUCAAGAGUAUCUCCAACCCUGAUUUGGGACAGGACAAUCUUCGUCAAGAUUUUCAGGUUCUGUAUGCUGGGGAACUCAACCCUGUUGGACCUAAAGCACAGAAGAAAGUGCCUGUUCCCGAAGGUUUGGAUUUAGAUGCUUGGAUCAACCCUCCUCCUGAAGAGUCAGAGAGUGAAGAUGAAAAUAAUGAAGAGAUGAAUGGAGGUCUGGGCCAAGUAUUUGUGAAAGAUGAGCAGGCUGACAAAUCUAAACAGUAUAAACCGGAACCUACAUCACAGGAACUAGAGGCGAGUAGGGUAGCCAGGCUAGCUGUUCAAUCUAGUAAUCCUAAUUAUCUCAAGGCGCCAACCAGGUCUCCUAUGCAUGAGGUUGAAUGUGAUGGUAGAGAGGAGAUCCCAGUGCAAGCGAUAGAUCUAGAUGUUCCCCUUCAUAUACCAGGACUAGCAAGUGUCGACUCCUAUUUGAACCUUGAAUCUAAAACUGAUAAAAAGAAAAAGAAGAAGAAGAAAUCAAAGAAAGCCGUGAGCAGUAGCGAGGAUGAUGAACCUAAUAUUGCAGUCUCAAAGCACCUAGAGAUGCCUGAAGGUGCUAGUGUAUCCGACCUAGAUGACGAUCAGUUUGAUCCUCUAGAUCCGCAUAGUGCACUCGCACAGAUAUCUUUAGAGGAUCUUGAACCUACUCGGGACAAGUCCAAGAAGGACAAGAAGAAAGGAUAUUCAGACCUAGUGGAGAUACAGAACAACGGUGGGUUUGAGUUGCUGAAUAGUAGUGGGGAAACACCUCUUGUGGAGCACAAAACCUUCAAGAAAAAGCACAAAACGGAGAAGAAGAAGUCCAAGAAGAAGGAGAAGGAACAGGAGAGGGAGCAGGAUCUCCUUGGGUUGGAUGAGGAUGAGAAGGAGCAGGAGAUUGAGCAGCCUGGAACGGGAUUAGUAAAGCUGAGCCAAGUUCUCUGCUCUGAUGAAAACCUUCAAGUAUCCUACUCCCCCUCGGAGUGCAAGGUAACCAAUGGAGCAUGCUCCGUCCCUCUAACAAUAACCAACCUCGGAGACGAUAAAUGCAAGGAGUUAAAUCUGACUCUAAACGAUGAAUAUUCUUUGACUAAAUCUCUGAAGCCCGGAGAGGAGAAGACGAAAACCGUUGUGGUUCCGGUAGAAGGAGAGAUGAUUCUCAGUAUCCCUGCUAUCCUGGAUUACAGGUUAAAGAAAGAGAGAAAGCUAGAGUUUAGUUUAACCUUACCAGCUACUGCAUGGUUGACCGGAGCAGCUUCUGAUACUGAGCAGAUGGCUGAGCUGCUGAUGAGCGGUCAGCUUGCAUUUAUGCUCUCAGCUAGCAUACACGGAGAAUAUUCGAUUAAGAGCGUACUGCCCCGGCUGGUAGGACUAGGACUGUAUCAGGUGGAUGUACAGCAGGGUACAACAGCAUCUAUGUACGGUAUUUCCUGUACUGGAACACAGCUCGCCUUUCUAGUAAAGCUGAAUCCUGGUAUCCUCGUGGUCGAGGGUAGGUCGAGUAAUAAGGAGCUCCUGGCUGCUAUUCUAGAACAGAUAUCUGCUGCUCUAGUCUGAUUUUUCAUCCAUUAUCCACUAGGCUGAUUUUCCAUCCAUUAUCCACAAGCCUGAUUUUUUCAUCUAUAAUCCACUAGGCUGAUUUUUCAUCCAUAUUCCACUAGGCUGAUUUUUCAUCCAUAAUCCACUAGGCUGAUUUUUCAUCCAUAAUCCACUAGGCUGAUUUUUCAUUCAUAAUCAUCUAGGCUGAUUUUUCAUCCAUUAUUCACUAGCCUGAUUUUCCAUCCAUUAUCAACUAGCCUGAUUUUUCAUCCAUAAUCCACAAGGCUGAUUUUUCAUUCAUAAUCAUCCAGCCGGAUUUUCCAUCCAUUAUCCAUUAGCCGGAUUUUCCUUCCAUUGUCCACUAGCUUGAUUUUCCACUCAUUAUCCACUAGCCUGGUUUUCCAUCCAUUAUCCACUAGCCUGAUUUUCCUUCCAUUAUCCACUAGCCGGAUUUUUCACCGAUUAUCUACUAACCUGGUUCUCCAUUCAUUGUCCUUAAGCUUGAUUUUUCAAAAAUUCCCUUAACCCACGUUACAUGUACACUAUGUGAUUAAUUAUUCUUUACAUUUGUUCCAAAAAUUUUUAUAAUUAUGCAUACAUGUUACGUACUUACCUAAUAUUUAUCUUGAAAUGAAAACUAUUUUACUAUUAUAAAUAAUUCAUAUAUUUUAUUUCAGAAAA